GCGCGCGAGGGAGAAGUCCCCUUUUCCUUACCCAGGUGCACACACACACACACCGUUUCGCCUCGCUCCGUCUCUCCCCCCUCCGCAAAGACACCAAAAAAAAAAAAGACAUCCCCUGAAAAUAAGCCAUGGUGUGUUUUUUGGGAGGAAAAAUAAAUAUAAGACGUGUCUUAUUUUAGGAGAAACACGGUAUGUAUGAUGUGGAGAAAUUCAUUCAUUCAUUCAUUUAUUGAUUGCUACAUUUUUAUCCCACCAUUUCUGCAAAGAGCUCAAGGUGCCAUACAUACUUCCCCCCUCCUCUACAUUUUAUCUUCACAACAACUCUGUGAGGUAGGUUAAGGCUGAGAAACAGUGACUCGCCCAAAGUCACCCAGUGGGCUUCAUGGCUGAGCAAGGAUUUGCACCCUGGUCUCCCAGGUCCAAUUCUUGCAUGCUAACCAAUAGUUAAUCAGUCAGUCAGUAAGUAAGUACGGUAAGUAAGUACCGGUAUGCCACCCUAUGUAGAUCUCAGGGUGGAUCACAACAUAAAAUCACAAAAUAAAAAGCACAAAAUACAUAAUAAAAGCAAAAACCAAGACAACCCAAUAAUCCCAUUUUAAAACAUUUUAAAAGGGCAUUGGGUGUCUAUCAGCCAAAUGCCUGGUUAAAGAGGAAAGCAUCCCACAAAUGGGGUGCCCCUGCAGAAAAGGCCCGUUCUCGUGUUGCCACCCUCAGAACCUCUCGUGGAGGAGCCACACUGACUCGCCUUCCUUUAUUCCUUCUUUCAUAGGACUGGAACUCAGGGUUAUCCAGUGAAAUUAACUGACAGUAGAUUCACACACAUUGCUUAUAUUACGAAAUUUGCUGCCAUAAAAUGCAGUGAUGGGCACCAACUUAGAUGGCUUUAAAAGGGUAUUAAAAAUUCAGAGAGGACAUUAGUUGUUAUGGCUGUGCUGGACCUCCAGAUUAAGAUGCAAGAUGCCUCUGAAUAUCAGCUGCUGGGGAACAGUAGAAGAAAAGAGCAAUUUGCCUUCCUGUUCUCUGAUGGCAUCCAGUUGUGCACUGGGCAAAGUGGAAUGAUAGGCUAGAUCAAGCAUCCCCAAACUCGGCCCUCCAGAUGUUUUGGGACUACAGUUCCCAUCAUCCCUGACUACAGGUCCUGUUAGCUAGGGAUGGAGAAAGGUAGAAGAAGCAGAAGCCAAUGAAGAGAUGCAGCAAUAGGGAAAGGUGAGUUGAAUUUCUAUCAGCUAGGUUAAAGCCACAGAGCUUUUGUCUGUAAGGAACAAUAGUUUCAAGAUAUAAAAAAGUGGAUUGGGCUUUAAAGGAGGCAGAGAGGGAUUGAAGUUUAUGCAGGUAAUUCCUACCCUAGUUAGAGGUCGUUUUUCAGCAAUAGAGUCAAACAGAAUGUCGGAGGCUUUCUUACACCAAGUCUGACCUCUCUACAUUAUGCAAGGUCAGACCUCUGAUUACUGUCCCUAGCCCAGUAUUAUCUUUGCUCAUUGGCAGUGACAUUCCAGGUUCUCUAGCAGGGGACUUUUACAUCGCCUGCUAUUUGGUCCUUUUAUCUAGAGGUGCAUGGGUUUUAAUUUGGUACCUUCUGCAUGCAAAGUCACUUCCUUGGUAUUUCCCAAUUAUGAAUGCUAAGGACCACUUCAUACAUUAUGCCAAGAAAGCAGGACUGUAACAAACAUGUUUUCCAAAUACAUACCGUAUAUAAGUACGUUUGUAAGGUUGCUGUAAUUGUCUAUAGCUUGCUGUUGAGUGCGUGCUCAGUGUAAACCUCACUUUCCCUCUGGAUUUAAUGUGUGAAAUGGUCCUGCCUCUUUUAGAGACAAAGGAGGCAUUUUAUAACAUAGUCUUAUCAAAUGCCUACAACAACUAUCAACUGAAGCUCUUCACAUGCUUUAUUUAUUCCACUGAUUUGGCAGAUUCCAGUCUGACCUGCAUCCCAGCCUUCACUCCUCUCCCAUCUUUGCUUUUGGAGAGAGGUUGUUUGCACCCAUCAGUUUCCAGGCUAAAGCAGGCAUCCCCAAACUUCGCCCCUCCAGAUGUUUUGGACUACAAUUCCCAUCAUCCCUGACCACUGGUCCUCUUAGCUAGGGAUCAUGGGAGUUGUAGGCCAAAACAUCUGGAGGGCCGCAGUUUGGGGAUGUCUGGGCUAAAGUGACAAAGCUAAGCUCUGUGAACAUUUAUAUUGCUUUAUGCUCAGAUCACUAAUAAGCAUUAUCAUCAUUCUACAUCCAGAGCACUUUGCAAGUAGUUCUCUGGCCUCUGUGGAUUGAUUGUGUGGAAAAAAAUAACAUCUGUAGUCGGAUGCAUGCAUGCUAGUUGUUUGAACUUUUGCAGUCUAUGUUCUAAGUAUAUUUUGACAAUCACAGCACCAUGAGUGUGUCGAGAGAGACGAUUCAUUCUCUUCCCUGAAUUACAUAGAUUUAACUAUUGACCUGAAAAUCCUCUGUUACAACUUCUUGGCUGGCUAUUUCAGAGCAUUCCAGGAUUGCAAUUCCAUACUUCAUCUGUGAUUUUCUUUUUCUUCUUUUUUGCCAAGAAAUGGAAUUUCAAAUGUUUCUGAAAAGGGUAAUCGUGUCGGCAGAUACAAAGUUAGGUUCUGUUGUGUGUAUUAGUGAAUUGGAUAUUAUUGGAAGUGUCCAUUAAAAAAAAAGCUUCAGAAACCACAUGAAGGCACCCUGUGAUACUUAUUAACAAGGCACAAUAGUUCUGCUUUCUAGCAUACAGCACAACAUCCCCCUUUUUGAGGUGGAAGAGAUAAAGAGAGCAUUGCAAGCCUUGAAAGCCAUUCCUUUCCCUCCCUCUGGUGGUGGUUCCUGAUUCCAGGUUGUUGUUUCUUAAAUGAAUAUAUAAAUGCACUACAGUGGUACCUCGACAUCCAAAUGACUCGACUUCUGAAGGUUUCAACUUCCGAAGUCGGCAAACCCGAAAGUCUUUUCGCCGCGUGCGCGUUCUGCGCAUGCGCAGAAACGCAAAAUAGCACUUCAAAACAGGCGCUUUAGCAACCGAAGAAUUCAACUUACGAUGAGCGCCACGGAACGGAUCGCCUUCAUAAGUCGAGGUACCACUGUAUUUGAAUACAGAUUACGUAGACAUGAAACUACAGGGUUAAACCCCCUCCCUGAUGAAAUAUAAAUUGGAAGCCAAACAGUAUGUUAAUAAGGCUUGGUUUACGGGACUGUAUUAACCUUGGUUGCCCUAGGAGAGGAAUGGAUGGGAGUGUGAUCUUGCUGCUUUUGCUCAAUCUCUCAGCAGCUUUUGAUACCAUCAACCAUGGUAUCUUACUGAACCGGCUUGGUGGGAUAGAAUGGGAGGCAGUGUGUUGCAAUGGUUCCACUCCUACCUACAGAGCUGUUUAGAGGGUGGCUUUGGGUGAUUACACCUUGCCCCCCCCCCCGGCAGCUGUGAUGUGGAGUGCUCAAAGUCUUAUCUCCAAUGCUAUUUAACAUCUAUAUGAAACCAUUGGGAACAGUCAUUAGCAUCAGUAAGAGGAUGACACUCAGCUCUUUUCCUCUGUUACAUUUGUCAGGUGUGGCUGUGCAAAACCUAGACCUAGACAUAAUGGUGGGCUGGAUAAGAGUAAAUAAGCUGGAUGCUGAUGAGUCAGAAGCCUUGUGUGUAAGUGAAUUCCCAAGUCUGGGGAUCAGGCAAUUUGCCUGCUCUAGGCAAUGUUGCACUCACCCAGAAGGAACAGAUAUGUAGCCUAAGGGUACUCCUUGAGCCAGCAAUGCCCUGAAGAUCUUCUAGUGAGAUCCCCCUGCUUAUAUCUCAGUCGCUUCUGGUACAGAGCCUAGGCGGGAAGCCUAAUCUGUAGUUGCACCCACCACAUGAAGCCACUUCCCCUAUGAAAGAAGGUGCUUACUAAAAACUUACCAUUUUCCAGAUGAGCCUGGAGGACAUUUCUUCAUAGGGUGAUUAAAAUAAUAAUAAUUAGUGAAAGGUCCUGAGUGCUCCCUGGAAGGACAGAUCGUGAAGCUGAGGCUCCAAUACUUUGGCCACCUCAUGAGAAGAGAAGAAUCCUUGGAAAAGACCCUGAUGUUGGGAAAGAUUGAGGGCACUAGGAGAAGGGGACGACAGAGGACAAGAUGGUUGGACAGUGUUCUCGAAGCUACGAACAUGAGUUUGACCAAACUGCGGGAGGCAGUGCAAGACAGGAGUGCCUGGCGUGCUCUGGUCCAUGGGGUCACGAAGAGUCGGACACGACUAAACGACUAAACAACAACAACAGUAUGUUAGUCCAAAGGGCCUUUCUGUGGAAGAAAAGCCACGUAGGGAGGAUCAAAGAACUGGCAGAAGAGGGGGUGCUUAAUCUCUCUCUCUCUCUCUCUCUCUCUCUCUCUCUCUCUCUCUCUCUCUCUCUCUCUCGUCACAUACACACAGUUUAAUUUGUGUUCAUUUGAAAUGCUGGGUGUAGAAUUUCAAACAGACAUUAAGUGCACAAGGAAAGGGUUAAGCACUACUCUCGGUCUACCCCACACCCAUGCUGACAGAAAAAGAGAAUAUGGUUGCAUUGUACCAUUUCCACAAGAUGUGAAUUUAGCCAGUAGUGCAUAAAUUUUAAAAUAGCUACUUCCAAAGCCCCAAGAUGAACUAACUUUACUAAAUUACUAUAAAUUUAUUACUUUUACUGUGCAUUAGAGUCAUGGUGAGCCAUCUUUUCACAGUGGUGUUAUUAAUUCUAGUUCAUACGCUUGCCAAUUAGUGGCCACAAGUCCCGUGGUAAAGAAAGUAGAAGCAUACCCUCCCUUCCACCGUGCACUUCCCAUAACAUGUAAUGUGUAGUACUAGGCCAGGCUUCCUCAACCUUGGCCCCUCCAGAUGUUUUUGGCCUACAACUCCCAUGAUCCCUAGCUAGCAGGACCAGUGGUCAGGGAUGAUGGGAAUUGUAGUCUCAAAACAUCUAGAGGGCCAAGGUUGAGGAAGCCUGUACUAGGCCAUACAACGGGGCUCAAUAUAUUUGGGGGGGAGGGAAUCCUGCAAAUAGAGCUUCCGUGCAGAGCACAUAUGUCACAUCACCUACAUGGGAAAUGGCAAGCAUGUGUGGUAAGCAAGUGGAUUUCAUCUGAAAAUUGGGCCAGAUUCAAAAGUUUUGUUAAGGCAGUGGCAGAUGAUGAUGAUGAUGAUGAUGAUGAUGAUGAUGAUGAUGAUUUUAUUUCUCCCCCACCCAUUUGGCUGGGUUUUCCCAGCCAGAUAAUGUCCCAGGAAUUGGAGGCAGUCACUUUUUGUGUGAUAGAUGUGAAAAUUUAUGCUGAAAUCCCCCCUCUUAACUAGGGGUCUGCCCCAUUGAGCACAGGAAGCUGACUUCUGAAUAAGCCCGUAUUCUAAGCAAAAUAAAAAAAUUCCUUCAGUAGCACCUUAAAGACCAACUAAGUUAUGAGCUUUCGUGUGCAUGCACACUUCUUCAGAUACACAGAGUUCCUCCUUUAUAAGCUUCUGUUUUGAAUAAAGAACGCCGAUAAGAUGUUUGAGUAGCUUCUUGGAUAAAGUGUGGCAAAGUUUCCUGGCAUAUUCUGUGGGAUACGUUGAUUGAAGGGGGUUCUUAAUUCUAAGACCCUUAGGAACAAUAUCCAGGUUCUUGCAUCUGGUCAGAAAUAUUAUGUCAGUUUGUACCUGUGCCAGUUUCUUGGUGAGGUUGAUGGACUUCCAUUUCAUGCGGCUCAAUGUGGUGCCUUCCAUAGUUCUAGUUACAGGUAGGUAGCCGUGUUGGUCUGAGUCGAAGCAAAAUAAAAAAAUUCCUUCAGUAGCACCUUAAAGACCAACUAAGUUAUGAGCUUUCGUGUGCAUGCACACUUCUUCAGAUACACAGUGUGCUCAUAACUUAGUUGGUCUUUAAGGUGCUACUGAAGGAAUUUUUUUAUUUUGCUUCGACUCAGACCAACACGGCUACCUACCUGUAACCCGUAUUCUAAGAGCAACAUGGAAUCCCCACCACCAAGCAGAUGUAGUUUUCAGGGGUGUUCACACUACAGAAAGAAUGUGUGAAUUAGAGCUAAAAUUGCUGAAACCAAAUUUUGCCAAUGCACACCUUUUGGCAAAGCACUUUCCCCUAAAAGAAUGCUUUCUUCUAUGUUAUGUUUACUGAUACAGUGGUACCUCUAGUUACAAACUUAGUUCGUUCCAGAGGUCUGUUCUUAACCUGAAACUGUUUUUAACUAGAGGCGUGCUUUCACUAAUGGAGCCUCUUGCUGCCGCUGCACUGCCGGCACAUGAUUUCCGUUCCCAUCCUGGGGCAAAGUUCUCAACUCGGGGUAACUCUUCCAGUUUAGCAGUUUGUAACCUGAAGCGUUUGUAACUUGAGAUACCACUGUAUAUGCAAUUUUAUGGACCCUUAAAACCCAAUAAAAUCAUUCCUCAAUGUUACAUCCGCUUCAGGUUGCAUGUUUUCGCCUUGCAUCCCACGGCAACCCGGAAGUACCGGAAUGGGUUACUUCCGGGUUUCGCUGCUCGUGCAAGCGCAGAAGUGCCAAAUCGUGCUUCAUGCAUGCGCAGGAGCAGCAAAUCGCACCGCACGAACGUGCAGACACAGCGCUUCAAGUUGUGGGCUUUUCACAUUAUGGGCAGCCUCCAGAACAGAUCCCGUCCGUAACAUGAGGUACCACUGGAUAUGCAUUUUAGUAAGCAUUGCUUGCCUGGAGAAUUGCAUCGCAAAAUUCAGAGAAGUGGAAACUUCAAAGGAUGGGUAGGUUCCAGUUCUUGUACUGUUUUGGAAAGUGCAAAUUUCAUAGGUUGUGAACUGAAUCUAAUUUCUCCACCAUCACAUAAUCCUUCUCCACUCCAAACAAUUUUCUUUUUCAAUUACACACUUUAUUGUGGAUAUCUGUAUUUUGUUUGUUGUGCUCGGCUUCUACAUUUUUAAUACAAUUUUUUAUAUUAAAAGAAAAACAGCAAUGCAGCUGCUGAAGUAAGUUGUAGAAAGCAAACACAUUUUCUCCUCCCUUCUCCUUUGUAUAUCAUGUCAGAAUCUGAUUUGACCAGCAGGUCCCUAGUCUUCAUUUUUUUUGCUUUUAAUGGUGGAGACUGUGGAGUCAAAACCAGUAUCUCAUUGUUAUGCAUGAAUAGGAAGUAUUCCUGUACUUAUUUGCAUUCAUUAGCUGUAGGUAGUUCCUCUGUAGGGGUCCCUAGUCUUGUUUUUACAGUGCUUUUGGCGGUGUUUCUGAGGCACGUGAAUUUUUAUGAUCUGUUGCAUGUUCGUGCAAUUUCCUGCCCUGUAAUGGUAUCGGUUUUCCGGGCGCAGAGGAAUAUAAACGAAAACCCAGGAGCCCACAUUAGCAUAAAAUGUCCCAGUUCUGUCAGUUUGAUUAAUUUGUCUCUUUGUCUCCACUCUAUAUGAUAAGUGCUAUUAAUGGCUGCAACACUUCAUAUGUCAAAGUCUUUCUUCCUAAUGACUUGAAAAUGUGGUUUAUUUCCCCUCUUUUGUAUUAUUUUCCUCAUUUAGCAUUCCACUCAAGUGUAGAUUUAUGCUGCGCUCUUUCAUUAUCUUACUGGUUGCAGCACUCGAGUGAUUACAUAUGGUGUUGGGGUAUGCGUAAAGAUGUGAUCCCAGGGGUAGCAGCUGCUGAUGCAAGCUGAAAAUAGAUCCUGCGUAUGCUCAGCACUUUUCCCAGAGGUCUUUUAUUUAUUAGUAACAGUCUUCGUGCAGGGCAGCUUGGAUCCUCAUUUAGCAAGAUGACUCUUUGCCUUUCAGAGAAAGGCAGUGACUUUGCUCUAUUUACCGACCGCUGUGUAAUUUUAUUUGUUUGUUUAUUUAUUUGCUGCUACUUGCUUUGUAUAUCCGUGCGGUGAUAUCACCUAAGCACAAAUUGUAAUACAACCCUGAUUUAUAAUGAAGUCAAGAUAUGACAGGCUCCAUUUGAAGUAAUGGAACCAGGCGGAUCUAAGAUUUAAAUUAAAUAAUCCUAUUUGUAAGACAGCGCUUGUACAUGCCGCACUGAUUUAAACUGAACUCUGGGCUUUCUCCAGUGAUUUCUUAUACUCGGUAUUGUUUCUCUAUUCCAUUUUUCCAUAGGGGAUAUUUUUUCUGUUAUAAAUUCAUUCAAGGAAAUUUUAUCUGCCUUAUGUACUGUUGAAAGAACUAGCCCGAUCCUCACGUUUCAUCAUUUCCUGCAUGUAAAAAAAAAAAGCCUUGUCUCAAGCAUAACUCCUAUACAGCCUUUCUGAAAUGUGUCAUACAUCUUUAAAUCUUUUUUUUUUAGAUUGACUCUCCAAACCUGUAAAGUGCCUACACAUUUUCUUUCAUAGGACAAAAAAGCAGAGCUUUGUGUUGAGGUGGGGAUUUAAACCAGGAAAGCCUUGCCAGGAAUAAAGGGUUAAAUAUCUCCUCCCCAGCACCACGGUCCUGGCCCUAUUUCUCCCCUGCGUCUGCCAGCCCCAUGAUUGUUUUAAGCAUAAAAAAGCAAACUUCAGGACCACCCACCAUCUCAUCAAGCUGCAUCCUUCAUUUGAAAGAUUUGUAUUUUCAUAUGCAUACCAUAAUAUUUUUAUGUAGGAAACUUUCUAUUUUGGAAGCUUUCAGAAGCAUGUGAAAAUGUAGCAUUCCAGGCUGGGAGGGGGGUGGAAUUCAGUUAAAUAGGCCAAAAUUGGACUAGGAUGAACAUGCUUCUUCCCACCCAUCCCUGAGAUUUCUAGACAGCAGAAUUAAAAUUUCCGGGAUGUUUACAGCUUUAUUAAAAUAAAAGUCAGCAAGGAAAUAAUGGCAAUGUCUUCUGUUUCCGCUUCCCCUUCUUUUUUUAAUACAUAAAUCAUUUAUGAAUAAAUGUAAAUAAUAAUUAGAGAGAGAGAGAGAGAGAGAGAGAGAGAGAGAGAGAGAGAGAGAGAGAGAGACUUCCUUUCAGAUGGAAAUUGAGAUGAAACCAACUUCCAGGCUGUAUUAAGUUAAUUGUGCAACUAUGAACCUUACAAGAAGCUGUCUUUCUUCCGGUAGUACUGCACAGGUGUGACCAGUUCUACCAAUCAGCAUUGCCCCUGGAAGUGCUCCCAUUGAAAAAAGAUUGCUUUAUAAGAUCACCCCCACCCCCUCACUGUUUUUUCUCAUCAACACUGUGAUUAGUUAUCACCUCCUGCUGGGAAGCUAUUCUCCCAUGAAACGGUUAGCCCAUAACUUGGAGAGGCAGAUAUUCUGGAAGAUAGCAAGUAUUAAUUCAAAUAGCUAGGAAGGUAGCACACACAUACGACAGGAGAAAAACCAUGGGGAAAACUUUUUAUUUUUAAUAAUUGAGUUCCACUCCCUUUGUAAUAUCACCACUUAAUAUACCGGUAAUAGGAGUGGGGUAGGUUAUAAUAGUGAAACCAGAGGCAGAAAGGGAGGGGGUUGAGGGAAAUAGUUCCCAUUCUACAAUAUCCUGCUUACUUUGUCCACAUGUCUCCCAUAAACAUUUAAACUUCCCCAGUCAAGGGGAAGGGCUAUUGCUCAGUGGUAGCACAGUUGAAUCCCUAGGUAUCUCCAGGUGAAUUUCCCUUGAGAGCUGCUGCCAGUCAGUGUAAACAGCUGAGCUAUUUGGACCAAUGGCUUGACUUUGUCCUUUAUUUCUGGAAUUGCAUUACAUUUUUUUUAAAAAAAUCUUUUUUAAUAUGCAAUCGAGAACAAAUAAAGAAAUAACAAAACAAUUGGAUGAAAAUUAAACAUACGCACACAAAAUGUGGGUCAUUUCAUUCACAAUCCCUGAAAAAAACAACACCAUUACUAUUGGUGUAGUAACAUGUGAUAAAAUCACCAGUAUAUAGUGCCACCUAUGCCAGUUAUUUUAUCACUUUUCUUUUGUAUUAUCACAUCUGUGACUCUUUCCCUUGAUGCCAUGUUUAUCAAAUGUUAUACCAAACUCCAGCCUUUGGUUAUGUCAUGUGUUUCCCAGGAUUAAUAGUGUAUUAUAUGUCUUACUAAUAACAGCUUCAGUAAAGGAAAGUAAUUUGGGAGGAAGUUGAGGGAAGACACAUGUACAUUCUGAUUCAAAACUCAUACUGGUGAUAUAUAAGUUACUAGUACCAGUAUUACUGUGGUUUGUAGCAUAAUCUGUCAUCAGUAGGAUUAAUGAUUAGUAUUAGUAUUCGUGUUGGUAGUGUUAAUAUUAUCUCCCCCCCCCAAAGGGUAAUGGGACAUACCUAUGGUAAACCAUAUGGCCAGAUGAUGCCUUGCGGAGCAUUCCAUCUUCAAUAACAAUAUACUACUUGCCCUGUGUUUCAGCUUUCUAACCUUAGAGAGAGCCCUCUGAAGGAAAUAAAAGGGAGUGGGGCAUAAGAACUAAAAUAUACUAUCUAUAGUAAACACUUCAAGAGUCUCUACUGACUGGUGACAUUCUCUACCGCUUUUCAUGAGCGGGAGGGGGGAGGGAGGAAUUGGAAACCAUGGCGUUGGAGUUGACCCGAAGUGUGCCUUGGAAACAAUGAGCUCUUCACUGAAAGAGAACACUUCAGAACAAGCCACAUUUGACCUACUUACGCUGCCAAAGAGGGAUGCUGUUAGAAAGCAAAGGGAAAACUGAAAGGCAAAUGGAAUGCGGAAGAAUUUAUGGUUUCCACUGCAGGAAAUGCAGCACUUUAGCAAGGAGCCUUUGUAAGAGGGAUGGUCCGUGCUCUGUCUGUCAGGGUGAGAGUGUGCUGUGGUGCCCUUCUGUUUUACUCUUCAGGUUGCAUCCUCGCCAUCCUGACCUUGUGCAGGCAAGCUUCAAAAAAGGGUGAUUUGCCACCCCCACCCCCCCAGUGAUUUGUUGUUUAAGAGUUAGACAUGAAAGUGCAAUGCUGUGAAAGUGAUUUCUUGAGUUGAAUGCAACAAAAGGAAGUUGAGGGGAGUCAUGAACAAACAAUAGAGCAGAUGGCAGAAGAACCAUGAAGUAGAUAAAUGUGAAGUUGGAUUUGCAUUCAUUUUGCAAUAUUUUAUAGUAUACUGGGCAGAAAAAGGGAUUCGCUCCUCCCUAGCUUUUUGUUGUUUCCUCCUUUGCCGCUUGCUGCAAUGUCUUUGGGUCUUCUAGAGUCUGUCUGGUUACAAUUCAUUUUAAUUUUUCUCAAGCAAGUCAGUAUACAUAUGGACCUCAACCUAUGUCAUUCAUAUGAGCAAAAUGCUAACUUCUCCCCCCACCCACGCACACCAAGUUGCUGUUCCUCAAAGAACCGUAACUCAUAUUGGCCCAUUUUAAUCUAAGCCUCCAUUAUCUGUUUUCUCAUUUUAGAAGAGGUAUAUCUCGUUCUGUUCUUUCUUUUAAAAAAAUAAACAUUUGCCAUAUCAGUAGUGGUUAAAUAGAUAGCUUAAUUUAAUUUCCUUUUUUCCCACUUGAAUCCAUAUGCACAAACACAUACACACUAUAUUCCAGUGCAAUUAAUCUAUAAAGAAACAAAUGGCCGAAUCUGAGUUUAAUAGACUUGCUGAUUCGGAAACCAAAUUUGGUGAUCAGAGAGACCAUACGUUUUUCUGCUGCUGUCAGUAUUCAAAAAAGUCCACCAGCUCAAGCCCUUCAAUGGGCUUUAUGCAAAUAAAGAAUGUCAAGAGUGUCACAUAAUUAAUGCUACAGAGAGAUGAUUAAAAUUAGGCUUAAUUAAAUUAACUAAGUUUUGUGGUGCUUAGAAGACUGAUCUUAAGCACUUUUUUUUUUAAAAAAAAAAGACAUGAAUCCACUCUUGGGGUUUGUGUGGAUUUGCAGAUUUUGUAUGUUACUAUAGUUGUAACAACAUAGAAUGGUUGUUUUGUAAGGUGUUUGUUGAUCAUUCAUUCUUGUUUCCUUCUUUGCUGUCUAUGAUAGAAAGAAAUGGGCAGGGGGGGAAGAGAGAAUAACACUUUACUUUGACAUCAGUAGCAAGAUGACAAAUUAUGCUCAUAAAAACAAAAACCUAUUUUUCUUGAAGCUGUCUAGGAGAAAGAGAGGCUACCUAUCACUUCAGAAGCAGGAGCCAGCAAUCUGCCAAAGAUGUAGAAGCAUGUGGGGGUGUAAUAGCCAGCAAGGCUUCAGUUGUCAUCAAAGGAGAAAGAAAGAGCUCCCAGUGAGGCAAAUGUUUUUUGUACGCUGUGCUAAAUUUUGGUUAGUGCUGAACUGCUGAAUGUGAAUUCUCCUUCCCUCUCCCAACAUUUUUUUCCUCUUCAAGUUUGUAGGUCCAUCCAAACUAUUUUGUGUAUCACCCCUCCCCCCACUGGACUUGUAUUCAUUUUCUAUUGAGAAUAGCUUCCCAAUUUUAUCACCUUCUUGCCAUGUCAAGAUCUAUUUCAUAGUCCUCUUCCUUGUAUUUUGAAGUAAAGGAGAUGCAUGCAAUAGGAAAGGAAUUAUAAAGCCACUAAAUUUACCAAAUGAGGACCUCGUCUUAGUUAAGAGGCACUAAACCAUGAUAAUAAUUUUCUAAUUACUAAAUAUAAGAUGAUUCAGCAUGCAGAAGGCUAUGUUUUUCAUCAUACGGAAGUAAAUGAAUGAACCAUCUGAAUAUCAUUUUGCUGUUCAUUAUUUUAUUCAGACAGCAUUAAUUGCAGUUAUUUUCUUUGAGUGUCUCUAAAAGUUUAUUUAUGCUGUUAAUAAGCAUGAGCAGCUGUAGUGGUACUGGCUGCCAGAACUGUAGCUUUUUUUAUAUACACUCUAAUGUAGCAAUAAAGCAAUAGGAAUAUAAAUUCAAAGUGAACAUGAUCCUGUCUUAGCAGAUGGAACCUGAGCUUGCUCGCACAUGCACUCCAUAUUCUUUUCCUCUCACAUAUGCAUAUACACGUCCUCUGGCAAAAUGGUUUUAUCAUUCUCAGUUGAAACCCCACAGACAAUAGCAUAGAAAGAAAGACUUCUGUCUGAUGGCAUUAAUCUAAAACUACAGUAUAAUGAUCUGGAUUGUAUUGCAGUUGCUAUUAUCUCUUAGGUGUUACAAAAGCGGAGAACUGUAAUGGAUGAAAUAGCUGUCUAGUGCUGGUCAUAGGGAAGACCUGCCCCCUUCUGGUCCUUUCUGUUCAAGAACUCAGUCUAGACCAGGGGUAGUCAACCUUUUUAUACCUACCACCCACUAAUGCAUCUUUCUUGAUGGUAAAAUUUCCUUACCGCCCACUAGUGCUCGAUGGAAGGAGGAGUCAGCUUGUGCUGUAGAACCCCCUACUGCCCACCUAGAAUCCUGAAGCGCCCACUAGUGGGCAGUAGGGACCAGGUUGACAACCCCUGGUCUAGACGAUUGGAAACAUAGAUGACAGCAAGGAGGGUGUGUGUGCGUAGUGCCUACAGACAACACAAAGUAGUGAGUGCUAUGAGGGAAAGCCAAAAUUAAUUGGUUCCUGACUCUUGGAGAUGGAGAUGCUUUCCCAGCUCCCCCCAAAUUAAUUCACAAGAUAGGAUUUCCCAGGGUCUGAUUUUACACCAUGUCAGUUAGUAACUUGAACCCUCUGCUUUUCCUUACUGAGGGGAAGCAGCUUCUGUUCAUGAAAAGCCCCCUUUACUCAUGAUAAGUCCCUUCCAUCAGUAGAAAUGAUGCAAAUACAGUGAAAACUUUGGAUCUUAGGCCACUGGUCUUAAGCGCAUUUAACUAGGCAGGGGGCAGUAGGUGGGCCAUGUAGGUGUCAUGCAGGGUUUCACCUGACCUAGAUGUCUCUUCCAACGCCAAACAUCCAGGCUGCCUAGAAUGUGAAGUCUCCCAUCUCCAACCCUAAUGAGGGAGACCUUGGGCUUCUAGAAGAGUUCUCAGCAGGCUUGUCUCCAGAGCUCCAGUUCAUCUGUGGCAAAAGAACCUCCUUUCCAAGUCAGAGGGGGAGGCAGGUGGAAUCUCCUCUCAGAAUCAGAUGGUGGAUGCCAGAAAUUUCAGGCUCAGGUGGCUACCUUGCAAAGGAGUGUGCACCUGAGAACACAGAGCUGCUUAGGAAUAAGGGGGUCAGGCAACAAGGCAGUGUCCCCAUGGGUUCCAUGUAAAAGUACUCUUGCAGUCCACUUGGUAUGAAAAGUUGGACCAUCCUGACCUAGACCCUGCUUUUUCUAUUCCCUUGUUCCUGACUGGUUCCAUUGUGCCUGCUAUUGACCUGGUUUUGUGUUUGUGGGAUUGGUGUUGGGGGAGAGAGCCUGUGCCCCAAGAAUUGAGUUCUAACCCAGUUGAAGCUAAACAGUAUGCAAUAAAUACACAGUUAAGAACAUGAAUAUUGGUCCCUGGGCAGCAGCACCUAUUCCACAAAAAAUGCAGAGUAAGCCUAAACACCCCAUUGUUAUCUCUCCAAACAUAACUGAAAGCAAGUACACUCUAAGUUUGAGUGUGCCCUUUGUGUCUUUCUCCAUCAAGUGGAUGUAGAAUGCCUUUGAGCUAAUAGUACCUUUUAAAAAUGUUCUUUAUACUCCUACUGAGGAGAGAGAAAUGACUAUAGAAGAGGCGUUGUUCAUUAUGUGCUGUAAGUAGACUGCUGUUCUAAAGCUUCUGUCUCAAAAUGUUGAAGGCAUGGCUAUAGUGUUAUAUACUAGUAUGCAGCACAAUCCAAACAUCGUUAGUUUGAUCUGUUUUGGGGGAUGUAGCCCCUUGUUUAAGCUGAGGGCAGCACUGAAGGAUGACCCCCUUUUUCAGUAGAGCUAUGCUGACAAUGUGCAUGCAAAGAAUGAAUUAAAAUGCAAGUUGCAUCGGUCCUGAGAAUCACUAAGUGUAGGAACAAAGUACAGUAAGUGCCAAAUUUGGGGGGAGGGGAUAGAAUGGGAAAAACUAAGGAAUUGGUAUUUCAGAUUCUCCCAAAAGACUAGAAAUUGAAAACUAUAGAUAAUCACUUUAUGGUUGUUUUGGAUGGUAUAUAAAGGCCUGCAGGAAGACAGGAUAUUUAUACAGGGCUGCAGCUUACCAGUUAAUGAUUUUAAUUGCCUUGUUAUCUAGUCAAGUGGAAUCCUCUUUUGACAGUGGAUUCAGUAGCCCAGCUGAAGUUCCCACCAUUUGGAACAUUAGAAUAGUUUAGUUGCAUUACUGAUUCAAGUGUUUUUCUCCUCAAUAUUAUUUCUUUGCCGCUCAGUAGUAACAUUGCCUCCUUUUGAAAUGUUAGCCUCCUGACUGAACAUAGUCUUGAGCACACACAGUCAAUAAUUUAUCCAAAAAUUCCUGGUGGUGUUUUUAUGUUUGGAUAUUUUAUAAUGGUCCGGGUAUAAUUCAGGUCCUUGCUUGAUGCGCUUGCUAUGAUGCAUACUCACUAAGUGUCGUUUUUGCUAAAACAUACACAAAAUCUGCUUCCCCCAGCCUACUCAGCAACAUUUACUAGCAGAUGCUGACUGGAGGGCUCUUGCCAUGAAGGCUUAAUUUCACUGCAAAAUACACCAGAGUGUGUUUUCCAGAAGGCUGUCAAAAGUAUUUGCAUAAAUCUCCAAGCUGAAUCCUGAUUUGUGUAGAAAAAGCGAAAGCAAAUGGCCCCUCUGCACAAUAGGUUGAAGAAUCAGUGGUGGAGUUGCACAAUACGUGUGUGUUUGUUAUUUCCCUCAAAGUGGCUCUUCUGAUGCAGGUCUAUUUCACUACCCAAGAAUUUGAGUGUGUUUUUUAGAAAUAUAAUGAAAUGUUAAAUUCCCCUAGAAAGCUUAUCUCCAGCUUUUGGAUUCAUAAAAAAGUAUAACAAUAGUUUUAACAGUAGAGAUGAGCAUCUCCACUCCCCAUCCUGACCCUCCUCCCAAAUCCUCCCAAUUUUUUUAUUUACUUAGACUACAAUCCAGAGAUGCCCUUAUUUUCAGAUUUAUUUAUUUUUUUUAAAAAAAAUCAAAAUCAAAAUGUUAAGCCACUACAUUUAAAGAACUGGAGACAGAUCCUCAGGAAACACUCUUCAGACUUGUCUGUCUGGAUGAAUUCAGGCCUCCUGGCCACAAUAUUUUGUCACAGUUAAGGAGUUUUAAAAGGUUUCUGGCACGUUGGUCUGUUUAAUAUAUCUAAUUAUAAGUAUGUAUGUGGAAAGUGGUACCAUUAGUGUUCGCUAUAUAUGUGCCAAUUCCCUGGAACAAAAGAGAAAGAUGUUACAUAGGAAACUGAGACAUAGUGAACUAGUAUAUAAUAAUAAUAAUUACUUUAAAAAAAUUAUUUAUACCCCACCCUCCCCAGUGAGAGCCGGGCUCAGGGUGGGCUCAGUAUACCGUAUUGGCCUGACUAUAAGCUGCACUCCCCCCCCCAAAAAUAAUAAUAAUUCCAACAGUGGAAAGUUAAAGUGUGGCUUAUAUUCACAACCUUACACUGCUGGCAAAGUGGCACGGCUUCCCCCCCCCCCAAGGCAGCAACCCGGGUAUUGUCUCCUCCCCCCUUCAAUUUUAAAGGUGCGACUUAUUUGCGGUUUAUAUUCGGGUGAAUACCAUACUUGUACCAGGCUAAAAAGCAGAGCAUUUUCGUCAUACAAUCUUCCUCAUAGUAAUCGGUCCUCUAUUGUGGGUGUUCUUUCUUUCCGAAUAUCUCUGUUCUCGUUCUCUCUCUCUCUCUCUCUCUCUCUCUCUGUGUGUGUGUGUGUGUGUGUAAACAUGUUUUGAAAGAUUAAUACAUAUAAUGAUUUAAAAAUUAGUGAAAAUCACUGCAUGAAAUGUGCAUGUAAGCAACUCUGCAUUGGGGUGGGGGUGCCAGAUACUGCCCUCUGUCAUUUGGUGAAAAAGCUGAUCAUUCGGCAUAGCAGCUCUUGAAUUACAAAGUUCACAAGUGAGAAAUUCUGCCUUAUUUUAAGAGGUAAUAAUUUUUUUAAAAAACUCCAGUCAGUCUGUUUAACUUGUAAUGUGAUGAAAUUACACUUUGAGUGUAUUUGGUACUAGGUACAGACACACUAUGAAAUCCUCAUUUCCAAUCACCAUAUGUCAUGUAACAUCCUGCUGAAGUUCUGCAACCUUUCAUAUCACAAAUGUUCCAGGUGUUUUUUUUUCUGUCAUACUAUUGUUGCACUAUAGUGCAAGAGUGCUUCUCCAAAUGACAAUAACACAAUUACAAUCACAGUACAACUAGUAAAGCAGAACAAUGUGUGGACAGCUCUAUUUAAAUCCACCGUUAAUGCACUGUUGCAUUAGUGAGAUGUAGCAGAAUAUACCCACAAAAAAACACUCCUCAGUCUGGUCUCCCCCACACAUUAUACCAGCACCCUGGCUUUUAAAAAAGAAUAAGUAUGCUAAUUACAGCAAAUGAGAUUAGAAGUCAUGUUUAAUCCCAGAGACUUUUGUAAGGCUAUGGGGAAAAAAUAGAAACAGAGUUAACUGUCACUAAGCUUAUCUUGUUUCUAGGGACUGGUUUAUUAUAUAAAUUGUAGCUUUAGGAAAAUGCCAAGUGAGGCUAUUAAGUAAAUUGACUAAUAGAGCUGAGGGGAGAAAGGCAAACCACCUAUGAAGCAAGUAGAAAUUCAGGCUGGCACAGGCAUAAAAAAUAACUAAACUUCAGGAAUCCAAACAUAAAUUCCACUUCCAUCUCUACCUAGGUUCAGCAUCAUAUUCAGCCAUUCCCAACCUGGCAUUGCCCCAAACUUGCUUCGAGAACCUUAAGAGUUGUCUAGAACCCUGAACAUGGCUGGUUAGAGGGAAUGUGUGCCUGAGAACAGAAGGAUAGGAAGUCAUGAGCGCAUUAUGAUCCCACAGCCUGCUGUGGGAGCUCUACUUAGUGUUUACAUCUGUGCAUGGUCAUAGAUGGCUUCUUAUGCUAGAUAAAGAUCAUUGCAUUAUGGGCAAGCAACUGCACCCACCACCCCAUUGUAUGAGGUGAGCACCCAAGGAGGUGAGUGGGUAUAAGCAAGACAUAAAGGAGACAUAACCAAGUGAUAGAAUGGUGGAGAGAAGGUUCUCUAAACCAGGCAUGUCAAACCUGCGGCCCUCCAGAUGUUUUGGCCUACAACUCCCAUGAUCCCUAGCUAGCAGGACCAGUGGUUGGGGAAGAUGGGAAUUGUAGUCCAAAACAUCUGGAGGGCCACAGGUUUGACAUGCCUGCUCUAAACAGUUGCCAUCACAGGCAAGCCUUCCCAAGUUGAAUACUGUGGUCUGGGUUCAACUAACUGUUCCCACUAGAGGAAACCUGCACAAGGACUUCUGCUAGCACAAUAGGGCUUUCUCCCCCUCCCCAUGUCCUAGUGGAAGGUGGGGAGGAACAUGCAUGAUCUACUGACUCAUCCCAAGUCUUGCUAACUCACACCAGCCAGGGCAGAGAGAAGGGCAAUGUUCGCCUUAUCAUUACACCAGCUCCAGGCUGAAUCAGGCCCCUCUCAGGAGAAUGGAGGAGCUAAGGAGCAUUUCCUGGAAGCACUUUAUUGUCCGAAAGGAACAAUUGCAGGAAACUGGGGAGGAUUUAUUUAUUUUUUAAUAAAUUCUAUACUGCUGUAUCACAAAAAUAUGUCACAAUGGUUUAAAAUAAUAUGAAAACAUAAAACCAAACAAUAAAAUUAUUAAAAGUUACAAACAAGUAAAAAAUAAAUUAAAAACAGUCAUCAAUGGUGACUGUGAGGGAUGAUGAUGAUUUUAUUUAUGAUGUACCGGUAUAUUCCGCCCAUCUAACUGGGUUGUCCCAACAAAAAAUAUAGUAAAAACAAAAUACUCUGUUACCAGCAAUAGGCCUGGCAGAAUAGAAUGGAAUAGAAUAGAAUAGAAUAGAAUAGAAUAGAAUAGUUUAUUGGCCAAGUAUCAACCAUACUUGGAAUUUUGCUUCAACUACAUUGCAAUGCAAAGAAUAACAUACCUCAUACAAACACCAUUCCCCUCACAAUACAACAGCACAGCUGUUUUUAUUGAUUUUACAAUUUUAUCUUCAACACUUAUUCUUCAUAAAAAAAAUAACCAAAAAAAGAGUUUUAGACAUAAACAUAAGACAUUAACACUUUUUUCAUUGUAUAAACACCAUCACUUUCUUUGUGGAGGUUCUCUUUAACCUCCUGACUUCUCUCCAUUUCCUUUUCUGGUUCAUUGAAUGUAUACCUUUUCUGCAUAACUAUAAUUAAACCUCUUAUUCUUAUUCUCAUUAUUUUGUCAAUAUGUAACUGAUUAUUACCAUCAAACCUUAGUAUUUCAAUUCAAAUUCCCUUUCUUUUACUUUAUCUCAUUUUUAACUGCUUGCAGGUAUUUAAUCAAAGCCUGCCAAUGUUUCUACUUGUUUACAAUAUUUUUGUACAUAUACAAUAAAUGUUUCCCAUUCUUUUUUAAAUUUUUCAUUAUCGUUGUCUCUGAGCUUUUCUGUGAGUUUAGCCAUUUCAGCAUAGUCCAUCAAUUUCAGUUGCCAUUUUUCUAUAGUUGGUUUCAUGUCUUCCUUCCACCUUUGUGCUAAUAGAAUCCAGGUUGCUGCUGUUGCAUACAUAAACAAUUUCUUCUUUUCCUUCGAGAUACCUUCCUGUUAUUCCUAGUAAGAACACUUCUGUUUUUUU
Non-coding RNA from Zootoca vivipara (common lizard), 19225 nucleotides. NCBI's taxonomy places the organism in Eukaryota, Metazoa, Chordata, Lepidosauria, Squamata, Lacertidae. The record is from RefSeq and is a predicted model, not a curated record.